RNAcentral lists this ribosomal RNA (506 nucleotides) under uncultured bacterium. RNAcentral describes it as "partial 16S ribosomal RNA". It matches the Rfam family "Bacterial small subunit ribosomal RNA", at positions 30 to 523 of the family's 1533-position model. The record is from RNAcentral.
AUUGAACGCUGGCGGCAGGCCUAACACAUGCAAGUCGAGCGGCAGCGGGGAGUAGCUUGCUACUUUGCCGGCGAGCGGCGGACGGGUGAGUAAUGUCUGGGAAACUGCCUGAUGGAGGGGGUUAACUACUGGAAACGGUAGCUAAUACCGCAUAACGUCGCAAGACCAAAGAGGGGGACCUCCGGGCCUCUUGCCAUUAGAUGUGCCCAGAUGGGAUUAGCUAGUAGGUGGGGUAACGGCUCACCUAGGCGACGAUCCCUAGCUGGGCUGAGAGGAUGACCAGCCACACUGGAACUUAGACACGGUCCAGACUCCUACGGGAGGCAGCAGUGGGGAAUAUUGCACAAUGGGCGCAAGCCUGAUGCAGCCAUGCCGCGUGUAUGAAGAGGGCCUUCGGGUUGUAAAGUACUUUCAGCGGGGAGGAAGGUGUUGAGGCUAAUAACCUCAGCAAUUGACGUUACCCGCAGAAGAAGCACCGGCUAACUCCGUGCCAGCCGCCGCAGUAA